Molecule: long non-coding RNA, 1406 nt
Organism: Erinaceus europaeus (western European hedgehog)
Lineage: Eukaryota; Metazoa; Chordata; Mammalia; Eulipotyphla; Erinaceidae
Exons: 4
Source: RefSeq, a predicted model, not a curated record
UGGUUAGUUAAAGCUAACUUAAGUUAAGUAGGAUUUGCUUUAAAACACAGGCAAAGCCUCCUUAAAGGAAGAAGUUAAUCUUCACAGACUUCUUCUUGUUGUUGUUUAUUUUAUUGCCACCAGGUUAAUCACUGGGGUUUAGUGCCAGCACAGUGAAUUCACCAAUCCUGGCAGCCACUUUUUCCAGUUUUUUUUUUCUUUCUAUUUUAUUUGAUAAGACAGAGAGAAAUUAAGAGAGGGAGGGAAAUUGGGGGAGGAAGAGAAAGAUUAGACACUUGCAGACAUGCUUUAUACCCAUGAAGUGUUCCCACUGAGGGUGGGGAGCUAUGCUCAAAUCCAGGUCCUUGCACAUGGUAAUGUGUGUGUUCAACCAGGUGUUUCACUGCCUCGCCCUCAUACUCACAAUUCUCUAGAAACAAGAGACAGUGUGCCAUACAGAGCUUCAUGGAGAUGCAUCAAGAAACUGACUUGUCCAAGGAGCAAACAUCAUGGCCCCAGAGUCCAAGCAUCAUAACACAGGAAAUAAAAACAUGGCAUAAUUACUUUGCAGUAAGAACUAUUAUUAAGGGGCAGGACAACAGUAUAGCCAGUCGAAUGUGCACAUAGAUGAGGACCAAGAAAAAAAAAAGAUGAAAGAAAGGAGAAAGAAAAAGAAAAAAUGGAAGUAAUGAAUGGCCUCUAAGAGCAGUAGAGCAUUGUAUAAGGAACAAGUCCCAGUGAUAACCCUGGUGGAAAAGAUAAAAAUUAUUGUUAAUAUGAGAAAAAAAGAAAAGAAAACUGUUAGUAUCUCUGAGAAUUAUAGAAUAUAUCCAAUUAAUUGUGGUAUAGAGAGGUGAUGACAAGUUUUUAAUAAGACUUCUAUUAGUAUUGCUCUUUGGCCGCUGCUUCUUCUCCUGGUCAGAUGCAUCUCAACAGAGGUUUUCCAGGUAUCCACCAUGGCUACUUCUCCCAGGAACUGAACACAUGUGACUCUGCUAGCCGUGUCCAGAGACACCAGGCAUGGGAUGUCAACCCUUCAGCUCCAUUAUUCUGCUAUCAAGUUGCAGAUGCUGUCAUGGUGCCAACCUAACUUCCCUGGGCAGAUUACCUCACCAAUGUGUCCUGGAACCCCACCUCUCCAGAGCCCUGCCUCACUAGGGAAAGACAGAAACAGGCUGGGAGUAUGUUAUCGACCUGCCAAUACCCAUGUCCAGUGGAGAAGCAAUUACAGAAGCCAGACCUUCCACUUUCUGCAUCCCAUAAUGAUCCUGGGUCCAUAUUCUCAGAGGAAUAAAGACUAGGAAAGCUUUCAAGGGAGGGGAUGGGAUACAGAGUUCUGGUGGUGGGAAUUAUGUGGAAUUGUACCCCUCUUAUCCUAUGGUCUUGUCAAUAUUUCCAUUUUAUAAAUAAAAAUUAAGAUAUAAAGA